Molecule: ribosomal RNA, 3979 nt
Filed under: Escherichia coli
Lineage: Bacteria; Pseudomonadati; Pseudomonadota; Gammaproteobacteria; Enterobacterales; Enterobacteriaceae
Description: bacterial LSU rRNA
Rfam family: Bacterial large subunit ribosomal RNA (bases 1-2858)
Source: RNAcentral
UUAAGCGACUAAGCGUACACGGUGGAUGCCCUGGCAGUCAGAGGCGAUGAAGGACGUGCUAAUCUGCGAUAAGCGUCGGUAAGGUGAUAUGAACCGUUAUAACCGGCGAUUUCCGAAUGGGGAAACCCAGUGUGUUUCGACACACUAUCAUUAACUGAAUCCAUAGGUUAAUGAGGCGAACCGGGGGAACUGAAACAUCUAAGUACCCCGAGGAAAAGAAAUCAACCGAGAUUCCCCCAGUAGCGGCGAGCGAACGGGGAGCAGCCCAGAGCCUGAAUCAGUAUGUGUGUUAGUGGAAGCGUCUGGAAAGGCGCGCGAUACAGGGUGACAGCCCCGUACACAAAAAUGCACAUAUUGUGAGCUCGAUGAGUAGGGCGGGACACGUGGUAUCCUGUCUGAAUAUGGGGGGACCAUCCUCCAAGGCUAAAUACUCCUGACUGACCGAUAGUGAACCAGUACCGUGAGGGAAAGGCGAAAAGAACCCCGGCGAGGGGAGUGAAAAAGAACCUGAAACCGUGUACGUACAAGCAGUGGGAGCACGCUUAGGCGUGUGACUGCGUACCUUUUGUAUAAUGGGUCAGCGACUUAUAUUCUGUAGCAAGGUUAACCGAAUAGGGGAGCCGAAGGGAAACCGAGUCUUAACUGGGCGUUAAGUUGCAGGGUAUAGACCCGAAACCCGGUGAUCUAGCCAUGGGCAGGUUGAAGGUUGGGUAACACUAACUGGAGGACCGAACCGACUAAUGUUGAAAAAUUAGCGGAUGACUUGUGGCUGGGGGUGAAAGGCCAAUCAAACCGGGAGAUAGCUGGUUCUCCCCGAAAGCUAUUUAGGUAGCGCCUCGUGAAUUCAUCUCCGGGGGUAGAGCACUGUUUCGGCAAGGGGGUCAUCCCGACUUACCAACCCGAUGCAAACUGCGAAUACCGGAGAAUGUUAUCACGGGAGACACACGGCGGGUGCUAACGUCCGUCGUGAAGAGGGAAACAACCCAGACCGCCAGCUAAGGUCCCAAAGUCAUGGUUAAGUGGGAAACGAUGUGGGAAGGCCCAGACAGCCAGGAUGUUGGCUUAGAAGCAGCCAUCAUUUAAAGAAAGCGUAAUAGCUCACUGGUCGAGUCGGCCUGCGCGGAAGAUGUAACGGGGCUAAACCAUGCACCGAAGCUGCGGCAGCGACNGUUGUUGGGUAGGGGAGCGUUCUGUAAGCCUGUGAAGGUGUGCUGUGAGGCAUGCUGGAGGUAUCAGAAGUGCGAAUGCUGACAUAAGUAACGAUAAAGCGGGUGAAAAGCCCGCUCGCCGGAAGACCAAGGGUUCCUGUCCAACGUUAAUCGGGGCAGGGUGAGUCGACCCCUAAGGCGAGGCCGAAAGGCGUAGUCGAUGGGAAACAGGUUAAUAUUCCUGUACUUGGUGUUACUGCGAAGGGGGGACGGAGAAGGCUAUGUUGGCCGGGCGACGGUUGUCCCGGUUUAAGCGUGUAGGCUGGUUUUCCAGGCAAAUCCGGAAAAUCAAGGCUGAGGCGUGAUGACGAGGCACUACGGUGCUGAAGCAACAAAUGCCCUGCUUCCAGGAAAAGCCUCUAAGCAUCAGGUAACAUCAAAUCGUACCCCAAACCGACACAGGUGGUCAGGUAGAGAAUACCAAGGCGCUUGAGAGAACUCGGGUGAAGGAACUAGGCAAAAUGGUGCCGUAACUUCGGGAGAAGGCACGCUGAUAUGUAGGUGAAGUCCCUCGCGGAUGGAGCUGAAAUCAGUCGAAGAUACCAGCUGGCUGCAACUGUUUAUUAAAAACACAGCACUGUGCAAACACGAAAGUGGACGUAUACGGUGUGACGCCUGCCCGGUGCCGGAAGGUUAAUUGAUGGGGUCAGCGCAAGCGAAGCUCUUGAUCGAAGCCCCGGUAAACGGCGGCCGUAACUAUAACGGUCCUAAGGUAGCGAAAUUCCUUGUCGGGUAAGUUCCGACCUGCACGAAUGGCGUAAUGAUGGCCAGGCUGUCUCCACCCGAGACUCAGUGAAAUUGAACUCGCUGUGAAGAUGCAGUGUACCCGCGGCAAGACGGAAAGACCCCGUGAACCUUUACUAUAGCUUGACACUGAACAUUGAGCCUUGAUGUGUAGGAUAGGUGGGAGGCUUUGAAGUGUGGACGCCAGUCUGCAUGGAGCCGACCUUGAAAUACCACCCUUUAAUGUUUGAUGUUCUAACGUUGACCCGUAAUCCGGGUUGCGGACAGUGUCUGGUGGGUAGUUUGACUGGGGCGGUCUCCUCUUAAAGAGUAACGGAGGAGCACGAAGGUUGGCUAAUCCUGGUCGGACAUCAGGAGGUUAGUGCAAUGGCAUAAGCCAGCUUGACUGCGAGCGUGACGGCGCGAGCAGGUGCGAAAGCAGGUCAUAGUGAUCCGGUGGUUCUGAAUGGAAGGGCCAUCGCUCAACGGAUAAAAGGUACUCCGGGGAUAACAGGCUGAUACCGCCCAAGAGUUCAUAUCGACGGCGGUGUUUGGCACCUCGAUGUCGGCUCAUCACAUCCUGGGGCUGAAGUAGGUCCCAAGGGUAUGGCUGUUCGCCAUUUAAAGUGGUACGCGAGCUGGGUUUAGAACGUCGUGAGACAGUUCGGUCCCUAUCUGCCGUGGGCGCUGGAGAACUGAGGGGGGCUGCUCCUAGUACGAGAGGACCGGAGUGGACGCAUCACUGGUGUUCGGGUUGUCAUGCCAAUGGCACUGCCCGGUAGCUAAAUGCGGAAGAGAUAAGUGCUGAAAGCAUCUAAGCACGAAACUUGCCCCGAGAUGAGUUCUNCGCUGAUAUGUAGGUGAAGUCCCUCGCGGAUGGAGCUGAAAUCAGUCGAAGAUACCAGCUGGCUGCAACUGUUUAUUAAAAACACAGCACUGUGCAAACACGAAAGUGGACGUAUACGGUGUGACGCCUGCCCGGUGCCGGAAGGUUAAUUGAUGGGGUUAGCCGCAAGGCGAAGCUCUUGAUCGAAGCCCCGGUAAACGGCGGCCGUAACUAUAACGGUCCUAAGGUAGCGAAAUUCCUUGUCGGGUAAGUUCCGACCUGCACGAAUGGCGUAAUGAUGGCCAGGCUGUCUCCACCCGAGACUCAGUGAAAUUGAACUCGCUGUGAAGAUGCAGUGUACCCGCGGCAAGACGGAAAGACCCCGUGAACCUUUACUAUAGCUUGACACUGAACAUUGAGCCUUGAUGUGUAGGAUAGGUGGGAGGCUUUGAAGUGUGGACGCCAGUCUGCAUGGAGCCGACCUUGAAAUACCACCCUUUAAUGUUUGAUGUUCUAACGUUGACCCGUAAUCCGGGUUGCGGACAGUGUCUGGUGGGUAGUUUGACUGGGGCGGUCUCCUCCUAAAGAGUAACGGAGGAGCACGAAGGUUGGCUAAUCCUGGUCGGACAUCAGGAGGUUAGUGCAAUGGCAUAAGCCAGCUUGACUGCGAGCGUGACGGCGCGAGCAGGUGCGAAAGCAGGUCAUAGUGAUCCGGUGGUUCUGAAUGGAAGGGCCAUCGCUCAACGGAUAAAAGGUACUCCGGGGAUAACAGGCUGAUACCGCCCAAGAGUUCAUAUCGACGGCGGUGUUUGGCACCUCGAUGUCGGCUCAUCACAUCCUGGGGCUGAAGUAGGUCCCAAGGGUAUGGCUGUUCGCCAUUUAAAGUGGUACGCGAGCUGGGUUUAGAACGUCGUGAGACAGUUCGGUCCCUAUCUGCCGUGGGCGCUGGAGAACUGAGGGGGGCUGCUCCUAGUACGAGAGGACCGGAGUGGACGCAUCACUGGUGUUCGGGUUGUCAUGCCAAUGGCACUGCCCGGUAGCUAAAUGCGGAAGAGAUAAGUGCUGAAAGCAUCUAAGCACGAAACUUGCCCCGAGAUGAGUUCUCCCUGACUCCUUGAGAGUCCUGAAGGAACGUUGAAGACGACGACGUUGAUAGGCCGGGUGUGUAAGCGCAGCGAUGCGUUGAGCUAACCGGUACUAAUGAACCGUGAGGCUUAACCUU